This 91-nucleotide microRNA precursor is filed under the name Astyanax mexicanus (Mexican tetra). RNAcentral describes it as "let-7 microRNA precursor family". It matches the Rfam family "let-7 microRNA precursor family". From Rfam's summary of the family: This family represents the microRNAs (miRNA) let-7 and mir-98. let-7 was identified from a study of developmental timing in C. elegans, and was later shown to be part of a much larger class of non-coding RNAs termed miRNAs. The extents of the hairpin precursors are not generally known and are estimated based on hairpin prediction. Lineage: Eukaryota; Metazoa; Chordata; Actinopteri; Characiformes; Acestrorhamphidae. The record is from Rfam by way of RNAcentral.
CUGUGGUGAGGUAGUAAGUUGUGUUGUUGUUGGGGAUCAGGAUAGUGCGGCCCUCGAAGGAGAUAACUAUACAACUUACUGCCUUCCACAU